GAUGAACGCUGGCGGCGUGCCUAGUACAUGCAAGUCGAGCGAACAGACGAGGAGCUUGCUCCUCUGACGUUAGCGGCGGACGGGUGAGUAACACGUGGAUAACCUACCUAUAAGACUGGGAUAACUUCGGGAAACCGGAGCUAAUACCGGAUAAUAUAUUGAACCGCAUGGUUCAAUAGUGAAAGACGGUUUUGCUGCCACUUAUAGAUGGAUCCGCGCCGCAUUAGCUAGUUGGUAAGGUAACGGCUUACCAUGGCAACGAUGCGUAGCCGACCUGAGAGGGUGAUCGGCCACACUGGAACUGAGACACGGUCCAGACUCCUACGGGAGGCAGCAGUAGGGAAUCUUCCGCAAUGGGCGAAAGCCUGACGGAGCAACGCCGCGUGAGUGAUGAAGGUCUUCGGAUCGUAAAACUCUGUUAUUAGGAAAGAACAAAUGUGUAAGUAACUAUGCACGUCUUGACGGUACCUAAUCAGAAAGCCACGGCUAACUACGUG
RNAcentral lists this ribosomal RNA (497 nucleotides) under uncultured bacterium. Its description in RNAcentral is "partial 16S ribosomal RNA". It matches the Rfam family "Bacterial small subunit ribosomal RNA", at positions 28 to 507 of the family's 1533-position model. The record is from RNAcentral.